This 445-nucleotide ribosomal RNA is filed under the name uncultured bacterium. RNAcentral's name for it is "partial 16S ribosomal RNA". It matches the Rfam family "Bacterial small subunit ribosomal RNA", at positions 338 to 795 of the family's 1533-position model. The record is from RNAcentral.
CCUACGGGGGGCUGCAGUGGGGAAUAUUGCACAAUGGGCGAAAGCCUGAUGCAGCGACGCCGCGUGAGGGACGACGGCCUUCGGGUUGUAAACCUCUUUCAGCAGGGACGAAGCGAAAGUGACUGUACCUGCAGAAGAAGCACCGGCUAACUACGUGCCAGCAGCCGCGGUAAUACGUAGGGUGCAAGCGUUGUCCGGAUUUAUUGGGCGUAAAGAGCUCGUAGGCGGUUUGUCGCGUCGGAUGUGAAAACCUAUGGCUUAACCAUGGGCCUGCAUUCGAUACGGGCAAACUAGAGUUCGGUAGGGGAGACUGGAACUCCUGGUGUAGCGGUGAAAUGCGCAGAUAUCAGGAAGAACACCGGUGGCGAAGGCGGGUCUCUGGGCCGAUACUGACGCUGAGGAGCGAAAGCGUGGGGAGCAAACAGGAUUAGAUACCCCAGUAGUC